RNAcentral lists this ribosomal RNA (253 nucleotides) under uncultured bacterium. RNAcentral describes it as "partial 16S ribosomal RNA". It matches the Rfam family "Bacterial small subunit ribosomal RNA", at positions 524 to 776 of the family's 1533-position model. The record is from RNAcentral.
UACGUAGGGUGCGAGCGUUAAUCGGAAUUACUGGGCGUAAAGCGUGCGCAGGCGGUUCGUUAUGUCCGAUGUGAAAGCCCCCAGCUCAACUGGGGAAGGGCCUUGGAAACUGCCGGUCUCGAGGGAGGUAGGGGCCUGUGGAACUUCGGGUGGAGCGGUGAAAUGCGUUGAUAUCCGAAGGAACGCCGGUGGCGAAAGCGACGGGCUGGAUCUCUUCUGACGCUGAGGCGCGAAAGCUAGGGUAGCGAACGGG